GCACGGAAUUAGCCGGUGCUUCUUCUGCAGGUUAGGUCACACACUGGGUUAUUAAUCCAGUGCUUUUCAUCCCUGCCAAAAGUGCUUUACAACCCGCAGGCCUUCUUCACACACGCGGCAUUGCUGGAUCAGGGUUUCCCCCAUUGUCCAAUAUUCCCCA
Molecule: ribosomal RNA, 160 nt
Filed under: uncultured bacterium
Lineage: Bacteria
Description: partial 16S ribosomal RNA
Source: RNAcentral